GUGGGGAAUAUUGGACAAUGGGCGCAAGCCUGAUCCAGCCAUGCCGCGUGAGUGAUGAAGGCCCUAGGGUUGUAAAGCUCUUUCACCGGUGAAGAUAAUGACGGUAACCGGAGAAGAAGCCCCGGCUAACUUCGUGCCAGCAGCCGCGGUAAUACGAAGGGGGCUAGCGUUGUUCGGAAUUACUGGGCGUAAAGCGCACGUAGGCGGGUAUUUAAGUCAGGGGAGAAAUCCCGGAGCUCAACUCCGGAACUGCCUUUAAUACUGGGUACCUAGAGUAUGUAAGAGGUAAGUGGAAUUCCGAGUGUAGAGGUGAAAUUCGUAGAUAUUCGGAGGAACACCAGUGGCGAAGGCGGCUUACUGGUCCAUUACUGACGCUGAGGUGCGAAAGCGUGGGGAGCAAACAGGAUUAGAUACCCUAGUAGUCC
Molecule: ribosomal RNA, 425 nt
Filed under: uncultured bacterium
Lineage: Bacteria
Description: partial 16S ribosomal RNA
Rfam family: Bacterial small subunit ribosomal RNA
Source: RNAcentral